This 497-nucleotide ribosomal RNA is filed under the name uncultured bacterium. Its description in RNAcentral is "partial 16S ribosomal RNA". It matches the Rfam family "Bacterial small subunit ribosomal RNA", at positions 28 to 507 of the family's 1533-position model. The record is from RNAcentral.
GAUGAACGCUGGCGGCGUGCCUAAUACAUGCAAGUCGAGCGAACGGACGAGAAGCUUGCUUCUCUGAUGUUAGCGGCGGACGGGUGAGUAACACGUGGAUAACCUACCUAUAAGACUGGGAUAACUUCGGGAAACCGGAGCUAAUACCGGAUAAUAUUUUGAACUGCAUGGUUCAAAAGUGAAAGACGGUCUUGCUGUCACUUAUAGAUGGAUCCGCGCUGCAUUAGCUAGUUGGUAAGGUAACGGCUUACCAAGGCAACGAUGCAUAGCCGACCUGAGAGGGUGAUCGGCCACACUGGAACUGAGACACGGUCCAGACUCCUACGGGAGGCAGCAGUAGGGAAUCUUCCGCAAUGGGCGAAAGCCUGACGGAGCAACGCCGCGUGAGUGAUGAAGGUCUUCGGAUCGUAAAACUCUGUUAUUAGGGAAGAACAUAUAUGUAAGUAACUGUGCACAUCUUGACGGUACCUAAUCAGAAAGCCACGGCUAACUACGUG